This 73-nucleotide transfer RNA is filed under the name Camelus bactrianus (Bactrian camel). It matches the Rfam family "tRNA". From Rfam's summary of the family: Transfer RNA (tRNA) molecules are approximately 80 nucleotides in length. The record is from Rfam by way of RNAcentral. RNAcentral also lists the same sequence under 2 other names. Lineage: Eukaryota; Metazoa; Chordata; Mammalia; Artiodactyla; Camelidae.
GAAGGUAUUGCUCAAGUGGUAGAAUAUGUGCUUAGCAUGCGUGAGGUCCUGGGUUCAAUCCCCGGUACCUCCA